This 109-nucleotide ribosomal RNA is filed under the name Erinaceus europaeus (western European hedgehog). Lineage: Eukaryota; Metazoa; Chordata; Mammalia; Eulipotyphla; Erinaceidae. The record is from RNAcentral.
AUCUACGGCCAUACCACCCUGAACACACCCAAUUUCGUCUGAUCUCAGAAGCUAAGCAGGGUCAGGCCUGGUUAGUACUUGGAUGGGAGAAAGAGUCAAAUCACAAAUU